This 77-nucleotide transfer RNA is filed under the name Candidatus Saccharimonadota bacterium. RNAcentral's name for it is "tRNA-Lys". It matches the Rfam family "tRNA". Rfam says of the family: Transfer RNA (tRNA) molecules are approximately 80 nucleotides in length. Their secondary structure includes four short double-helical elements and three loops (D, anti-codon, and T loops). Further hydrogen bonds mediate the characteristic L-shaped molecular structure. tRNAs have two regions of fundamental functional importance: the anti-codon, which is responsible for specific mRNA codon recognition, and the 3' end, to which the tRNAs corresponding amino acid is attached (by aminoacyl-tRNA synthetases). tRNAs cope with the degeneracy of the genetic code in two manners: having more than one tRNA (with a specific anti-codon) for a particular amino acid; and 'wobble' base-pairing, i.e. permitting non-standard base-pairing at the 3rd anti-codon position. The record is from RNAcentral. RNAcentral also lists the same sequence under 1 other name. Lineage: Bacteria; Candidatus Saccharimonadota.
GGGCCAUUAGCUCAGCUGGUUAGAGCAUCGGCCUCUUAAGCCGAGUGUCCUGGGUUCGAGCCCCAGAUGGCCCUCCA